Molecule: ribosomal RNA, 483 nt
Filed under: uncultured Saprospiraceae bacterium
Lineage: Bacteria; Pseudomonadati; Bacteroidota; Saprospiria; Saprospirales; Saprospiraceae
Description: bacterial SSU rRNA
Rfam family: Bacterial small subunit ribosomal RNA
Source: RNAcentral
GAUGAACGCUAGCGGGAGGCUUAAUACAUGCAAGUCGAGGGGUAACGAUUCGGACCUAGUCUGAAGGCGACGACCGGCGCACGGGUGAGUAACGCGUACACGACCUACCUCAUACUGAGGGAUAGCCCUGGGAAACUGGGAUUAAUACCUCAUAGUACUAAUUAAUUGCGAUUUAUUAGUUAAAGUUCCGGCGGUAUGAGAUGGGUGUGCGUUAGAUUAGCUAGUUGGUAAGGUAACGGCUUACCAAGGCGACGAUCUAUAGGGGGCGUGAGAGCGUGGACCCCCACACGGGUACUGAGACACGGACCCGACUCCUACGGGAGGCAGCAGUAAGGAAUAUUGGACAAUGGGGGCAACCCUGAUCCAGCCAUCCCGCGUGCAGGAAGACGGCCCUAUGGGUUGUAAACUGCUUUUAUAAGGGAAGAAAAUUAGUCUAUUUAGAUUAACUGACGGUACCUUAAGAAUAAGCACCGGCUAACUCCG